This 273-nucleotide unclassified non-coding RNA is filed under the name uncultured fungus. RNAcentral's name for it is "partial contains small subunit ribosomal RNA, internal transcribed spacer 1, and 5.8S ribosomal RNA". The stretch from base 1 to 73 matches the Rfam family "Eukaryotic small subunit ribosomal RNA", at positions 1759 to 1831 of the family's 1831-position model. Lineage: Eukaryota; Fungi. The record is from RNAcentral.
CCAAACUUGGUCAUUUAGAGGAAGUAAAAGUCGUAACAAGGUCUCCGUAGGUGAACCUGCGGAGGGAUCAUUACUGAGUGAGGGCCUCCGGGCUCGACCUCCCACCCUUUAACAAACGUCCGGUUUGCCUCGGGGGUGACCCGGAUCUCUAGACGUCCGGGUGACCCCCGGAGGGAUACCUACUCUGCAUUUUGGCGUCGGAGUCAAAUAGUAAAUGGAAUGAAAACUUUCAACAACGGAUCUCUUGGUUCUGGCAUCGAUGAAGAACGCAGC